Long non-coding RNA from Etheostoma cragini (Arkansas darter), 156 nucleotides. RefSeq lists it as uncharacterized. The transcript has 3 exons. Lineage: Eukaryota; Metazoa; Chordata; Actinopteri; Perciformes; Percidae. The record is from RefSeq and is a predicted model, not a curated record.
CUACAACGUGAUCCCCGUCUCUGUGUAAGGGAGAGUUUUUCCCGCCAGCCUCUACGAAGUGAAAUAUUAGCCAAUCACAGGCAUUAUUAGGUCUUGGUAGAAGCACGCUGCAUGCUGAUUUGCUCGCUGACGCUGAUGAGAUUUCUUCUGCUGGUA